GCGACAAAAGAUGCUCGCAGCAACUCCACGCCAUUGCAAAUCCAUCUGUGGAUGAAGUAGCCCUCCCAAGUUCAUCCAUAACAAUCAGACUCCUGCGUCCAUCAAAAUUUUUGUAGAAAAAAGAAAAGAAGCCUGUUGUGUGUAUGUAAAGUGAAGCAGAUCAAAAGGAUCAAAUUGACUCACUACUCGGGUGUUUAGAAAUUGUACCGUGCUAGAGUUGGAUUCAAGAUUAUCAACUGCGCCCAUCCUUGUAAACAUACGAUCAACUACCCUAAGAGUUGAGAAACGAGCCGGAACAUAACAUCCAACUUGAGCAAGAAUAACUAUGAGACAAACUUGUUGAAGAAUACAUCUAUGGGAGAAAAAUGUGGUCCUGUGGAGAUAAGUUACAGUGGCUAUUGGAUAUGUUCAUUACGUACAACAAAGUCAUUGUGUAUGCUCUCCAGGAUAGGGUGUCUACCAGAAUCAAUUGCCAAUGGCCCAUUCUCUAUCCAAGAAAAAUAUCAAUAAACAAAUUUGUUCAUUGAUGAACAAAAAAAUUAUAGAAAUGAUCAAUUUAUUACCUGUAAAUUCUGGCCUUGUAUAUCUAUCAACGGGCUUAGUUGAUAUCAUAUGAGCAAAUGAAUUGACAAU
This is a long non-coding RNA of Vigna unguiculata (cowpea), 633 nucleotides long. RefSeq lists it as uncharacterized. The record is from RefSeq and is a predicted model, not a curated record. Lineage: Eukaryota; Viridiplantae; Streptophyta; Magnoliopsida; Fabales; Fabaceae.